Molecule: ribosomal RNA, 253 nt
Filed under: uncultured bacterium
Lineage: Bacteria
Description: partial 16S ribosomal RNA
Rfam family: Bacterial small subunit ribosomal RNA
Source: RNAcentral
GACAGAGGGUGCAAACGUUGUUCGGAAUUACUGGGCGUAAAGCGUGCGCAGGCGGUCUGUUAAGACCGAUGUGAAAUCCCCGGGCUUAACCUGGGAACUGCAUUUGUGACUGCAAGGCUAGAAUCUGGCAGAGGGGGGUAGAAUUCCACGUGUAGCAGUGAAAUGCGUAGAUAUGUGGAGGAAUACCGAUGGCGAAGGCAGCCCCCUGGGCUAAGAUUGACGCUCAUGCACGAAAGCGUGGGGAGCAAACAGG